Molecule: ribosomal RNA, 494 nt
Filed under: uncultured bacterium
Lineage: Bacteria
Description: partial 16S ribosomal RNA
Rfam family: Bacterial small subunit ribosomal RNA
Source: RNAcentral
GACGAACGCUGGCGGCGUGCUUAACACAUGCAAGUCGAACGGAAAGGCCUGCUUUCCCUUGUGGAUUGCGGGUACUCGAGUGGCGAACGGGUGAGUAACACGCGGGUGAUCUGCCCCCAACUUGGGUAUAAGCCUGGGAAACUGGGUCUAAUUCGCGGUAGGACUGCAGGGUGGUGCCUGUGGUGGAAAACGAUUUUCUAGUGGUUGGGGAUGGGCUCGCGGCCUAGCAGCGUGUUGGUGGGGUAAUGGCCUACCAAGGCGGGGACGGGUAGUCGGCCUGUGAGGAUGGACGGCGGCAUUGGGACACGGACCCGGCCCAGACUCCUACGGGAGGCAGGAGUGGGGAAUAUUGGACCAUGGGCGGAAGCCUGACGCGGCGAGGCUGCGUGGGGGAUGUCGGCCUUCGGGUUGUAAACUCCUUGCGACCGCGAGGAAGCAACCUGGUUGGAGGGGUGGUGACGUUAGUGGUAGAAGAAGCACCGGCUAACUACGUG